RNAcentral lists this transfer RNA (64 nucleotides) under Palaemon capensis. RNAcentral's name for it is "tRNA-Thr". It matches the Rfam family "tRNA". Rfam says of the family: Transfer RNA (tRNA) molecules are approximately 80 nucleotides in length. Their secondary structure includes four short double-helical elements and three loops (D, anti-codon, and T loops). The record is from RNAcentral. Lineage: Eukaryota; Metazoa; Arthropoda; Malacostraca; Decapoda; Palaemonidae.
GUUUCAGUAGUUUAAUAAAAACGUUGGUCUUGUAAAUCAAAAUUGAAUUUUUAUUCCUGAAGCU